GGAAGCUGUUGCUGUGAAGUUAAAUUGUUCCAACGAGGCGAAACUAGAGGAGCUAGAGGUGAGAAUCCCGAGAAUUGCUUCUGAUUAGAAUCGAGGGUUGAAAAUGAGGUGUGAAGAUAUCUCAUAUAAGCCGAAACGGGUGAUUCAGCCGGCGCGUGGACGGCUGGUAAUGGAGGCAGAGGCGAAAGCGGCGCAACAGGCCGUCCAAUGGGGCCGAAAUUGUUAGCCGAUGAAAUGGAAUUUCUAGGGUUCAGACCAGCCGGUGGUUGUUGUUGCGGCUGUGGCAUAGGAACAGCGCUAUUUAACAUCGGAGGAGGACGAUUACUGACGUUAGCAAGUGGAGGCGGUCGGAUUCGCUGCAGGCGAGAGCUCUGAGGCUUCGGUGGAUGAAUCGGCGGCGGAUUCGAGAACCGUUCGUGCGCCGGAGAGCCAGUGAGCUUCUGAACCACAUCUCGGAAAUCAUUCUUGUUGAUAUUGUAAACCGGCGGCUGAUGGUGCUGCGGUGGUUGCUGGGUUUGAGCCUGCACCGCCAAUUCCGGCGGCGGUGGCGGCGGUUGAGGAAGACUUUGAUUCUGAUUAAAACUAGGAUUGGAGUGAAUAGAAGAAUCAAACCCGGGCUUCUUAACGAAACUAGGCUUAGAAAUUUUGUGGGAAAGCUUGUUGAGGUGCCUGAGAUACUGGUCCCUGCCUGUAGAGGCCGUACUGCCGCCAUUAUUAGCGGCGGAGGAAUCUCCCGUCAGAGAAGAUUGGCAGCUUUUCUCCAUAUUUCAUACAAAAAAAACAAAACCCAGAUGGCCGGACCCCUGUUCUUGAUCAAAACACAACUGCAGAUCUAAUCCAAUCCAAUCAAACCUCGCUC
Molecule: unclassified non-coding RNA, 859 nt
Filed under: Hevea brasiliensis (rubber tree)
Lineage: Eukaryota; Viridiplantae; Streptophyta; Magnoliopsida; Malpighiales; Euphorbiaceae
Source: RNAcentral